GAUGAACGCUGGCGGCGCGCCUAACACAUGCAAGUCGAACGGUUAAAGCACCUUUUAGGUGUGUAUAAAGUGGCGAACGGCUGAGUAACACGUGGGCAACCUGCCCUCCUCUUGGGGAUAGCCUCGGGAAACCGAGGAUAAUACCCGAUACUUCAAUGUGGCCGCAUGACGACAUUGAGAAAGCUUUUGCGGAGAAGGAUGGGCCCGCGGCCUGUUAGCUUGUUGGUGGGGUAGAGGCCUACCAAGGCAAUGAUGGGUAGCUGGGUUGAGAGACCGACCAGCCAGAGUGGGACCGGGACACGGCCCAGGCUCCUACGGGAAGCAGCAGGGGGGAAUCUUGGACAAUGGGCGAAAGCCUGAUGCAGCGACGCCGCGGGCGGGACGAAGGCCUUCGGGUUGUAAACCGCUUUCAGCAGGGACGAGGCGAUAAGUGACGGUACCUGCAGAAGAAGCCCCGGCUAACUACGUG
Molecule: ribosomal RNA, 469 nt
Filed under: uncultured bacterium
Lineage: Bacteria
Description: partial 16S ribosomal RNA
Rfam family: Bacterial small subunit ribosomal RNA
Source: RNAcentral